AUCAUUGACAUUUAAACUCUGGGGCAGGUCCUCGCGUAGAACGCGGCUGUCAGAUCUGCCACUUCCCCUGCCGAGCGGCGGUGAGAAGUGUGGGAACCGGCGCUGCCAGGCUCACCUGCCUCCCCGCCCUCCGCUCCCAGGAAUCUGAGAAUUGCUCUCACACACCAACCCAGCAACAUCCGUGGAGAAAACUCUCACCAGCAACUCCUUUAAAACACCGUCAUUUCAAACCAUUGUGGUCUUCAAGCAACAACAGCAGCACAAAAAACCCCAACCAAACAAAACUCUUGACAGAAGCUGUGACAACCAGAAAGGAUGCCUCAUAAAGGGGGAAGACUUUAACUAGGGGCGCGCAGAUGUGUGAGGCCUUUUAUUGUGAGAGUGGACAGACAUCCGAGAUUUCAGAGCCCCAUAUUCGAGCCCCGUGGAAUCCCGCGGCCCCCAGCCAGAGCCAGCAUGCAGAACAGUAAGUGCCUCUGGUCUUUCUGGGACUUCGGGCUCGGGGUGCGCGGACCCGAGGGUCA
Molecule: long non-coding RNA, 524 nt
Filed under: Homo sapiens (human)
Lineage: Eukaryota; Metazoa; Chordata; Mammalia; Primates; Hominidae
Description: non-protein coding lnc-IMMP1L-7:1
Source: RNAcentral